GGGACCCGUCUUGAAACACGGACCAAGGAGUCUAGCAUGUGCGCGAGUCAUUGGGAUAUUUACUAAACCUAAAGGCGCAAUGAAAGUGAAGGUCUUGCAUGCCAGGACCGAGGGAGGAUGGACGGUCUCGCGGGGCCGUCUCGCACUCCCGGGGCGUCUCGCUCUCAUCGCGAGAAGAGGCGCACCCAGAGCGUACACGCUGGGACCCGAAAGAUGGUGAACUAUGCCUGGUCAGGACGAAGUCAGGGGAAACCCUGAUGGAGGUCCGUAGCGAUUCUGACGUGCAAAUCGAUCGUCGGAACUGGGUAUAGGGGCGAAAGACUAAUCGAACCAUCUAGUAGCUGGUUCCCUCCGAAGUUUCCCUCAGGAUAGCUGGCGCUCGCUUCUCGCGAGUCUCAUUCGGUAAAGCGAAUGAUUAGAGGCAUUGGGGUCGAAACGGCCUCAACCUAUUCUCAAACUUUAAAUGGGUGAGAUCUCCGGCUUGCUUGAACUGUGAAGCCGCGAGAUAUCGGAUCAGAGUGCCAAGUGGGCCACUUUUGGUAAGCAGAACUGGCGCUGUGGGAUGAACCAAACGCCGAGUUAAAGCGCCUAAAUCGACGCUUAUGGGAUACCAUGAAAGGCGUUGGUAACUUAAGACAGCAGGACGGUGGCCAUGGAAGUCGGAAUCCGCUAAGGAGUGUGUAAA
RNAcentral lists this ribosomal RNA (685 nucleotides) under Lamproserica sp. BMNH 670867. Its description in RNAcentral is "eukaryotic LSU rRNA". It matches the Rfam family "Eukaryotic large subunit ribosomal RNA", at positions 644 to 1286 of the family's 3401-position model. Lineage: Eukaryota; Metazoa; Arthropoda; Insecta; Coleoptera; Scarabaeidae. The record is from RNAcentral.